RNAcentral lists this transfer RNA (76 nucleotides) under Candidatus Saccharimonadota bacterium. RNAcentral's name for it is "Candidatus Saccharibacteria bacterium tRNA-Gly". It matches the Rfam family "tRNA". Rfam says of the family: Transfer RNA (tRNA) molecules are approximately 80 nucleotides in length. Their secondary structure includes four short double-helical elements and three loops (D, anti-codon, and T loops). Lineage: Bacteria; Candidatus Saccharimonadota. The record is from RNAcentral.
GCGGGUGUCGUAUAACGGCUUAUUAUCUUUGUUUUCCAAACAAAAAAUCGGAGUUCGACUCUCCGCACCCGCACCA